RNAcentral lists this ribosomal RNA (326 nucleotides) under uncultured eukaryote. Its description in RNAcentral is "partial 18S ribosomal RNA". It matches the Rfam family "Eukaryotic small subunit ribosomal RNA", at positions 1470 to 1796 of the family's 1831-position model. The record is from RNAcentral.
CCCUUAGAUGUUCUGGGCUGCACGCGCGCUACACUGAUGCAUGCAACGAGUUUUCGACCUUGCCUGAAAAGGUUGGGUAAUCUGUUUAACAUGUGUCGUGAUGGGGAUAGACCAUUGCAAUUAUUGAUCUUCAACGAGGAAUUCCUAGUAAGCGCGAGUCAUCAGCUCGUGCUGAUUAUGUCCCUGCCCUUUGUACACACCGCCCGUCGCUCCUACCGAUUGGGUGAUCCGGUGAAUGAUUCGGACCAGCGUGCUGCUCAGAUCCUGCGCAGUGUGCUGGGAAGUCUAGUGAACCUUAUCACUUAGAGGAAGGAGAAGUCGUAACA